AUGCACGCUGACAGAAUGCUUCACACAUGCCAGUCAACUUGAAUUUGGGUUUUUAACUUAGGUUUGGGUGGCGGACGGGUGAGUAACGCGUAAAGAACUUGCCUCACAGCUAGGGACAACAUUUGGAAACGAAUGCUAAUACCUAAUAUUAUGAUAAUAGGGCAUCCUAUAAUUAUGAAAGCUAUAAGCGCUGUGAGAGAGCUUUGCGUCCCAUUAGCUAGUUGGAGAGGUAACGGCUCACCAAGGCGAUGAUGGGUAGCCGGCCUGAGAGGGUGAUCGGCCACAAGGGGACUGAGACACGGCCCUUACUCCUACGGGAGGCAGCAGUGGGGAAUAUUGGACAAUGGACCGAGAGUCUGAUCCAGCAAUUCUGUGUGCACGAUGAAGUUUUUCGGAAUGUAAAGUGCUUUCAGUUGGGAAGAAACAAAUGACGGUACCAACAGAAGAAGUGACGGCUAAAUACGUG
RNAcentral lists this ribosomal RNA (466 nucleotides) under uncultured bacterium. RNAcentral describes it as "partial 16S ribosomal RNA". It matches the Rfam family "Bacterial small subunit ribosomal RNA", at positions 29 to 507 of the family's 1533-position model. The record is from RNAcentral.